GAAAACUCGUCCUGUGGAAAAAACUUACCCUGUUCCUGUUGAUGAAGCACCAGUUGGAGUUGCAUUGCAAGGAGAUCUUCAUUCUCCACCCAAAAAAAAUGAGGGGAGGUACCAGGAACCUGAAAAGGUCUCUUCUUCUGUUGAUGCUGUGAAUUCAGUCCAGGUUCCUAAAUCUUCUGAAGAUGAUCAAUGUUCCACAUCUGAUGGUACGUUUGGUCCAGUCUAUGCUGAUUCUGCUUCCAAUCUGAUUGACUUGAGUUACCCUGAACCAUCAGUGCCUCCUCAGAGAGUUUAUUAUUCAGAAAGAAUACCGCGGGAGCAAGCAGAGUUGCUGAACAGGUUAUCAAAAUCUGAUGACUCACUUGGUUCUCAGUUGCUUACUUCAAUUGCAGAAACUGUUGAAAAGUUGCAUCAGAGUAAUUUUGCUCCCCAUACCGAGAACUCCACAUCAACUUCAAAACCAUCAUAUGCAGACACUCAAACCAUCAAUGAGGGACUUGCCCAACUUGAGAAGUACAAGGAGUUUGCUGAAGCAGUUUCUCAGACGAACAAAAGGCUUUCUGGUUCAGACAAUGUGCUGGACAGGGAAAGUGUUCUCAUGGGUGACUAUGAUACAGAUUAUACCACAGGUAAUAAUGUGAAAAACCUGAAUGAGGAAAUGGGAGAAGCUGGAUCUGGGCAUUCAGCUGUGCGCCAAGUAACUGCUGUCAUGCCUCAGAAGGAUCCUGCAUCUAAUCUUUCGGAGCCUAAACGGGUUGAGACAACUGGCAAGGACUUCACGAGUAAUAACAAUCUUGGACAUUCUCAGCCAUUUUCUGGGACAGAGAGCUCAACUAAAGAUGUUUCAAAACGAAUAACCCCUGUUGGUGUUCCAGUGGCAAAGCAGGUAGACAUCAGUAUAGAUAUUAAUGACAGAUUCCCUCGUGAUUUCAUUUCUGAAAUAUUCUCUGGUGGGAUAUCUACUGAGGAUACAUCUGUUGUUAACCCAAUUCACAAAGAUGGGGCUGGCGUGAGUGUGAACAUGGAAAAUCAUGAGCCCAAGCGC
This 1045-nucleotide unclassified non-coding RNA is filed under the name Hevea brasiliensis (rubber tree). The record is from RNAcentral. Lineage: Eukaryota; Viridiplantae; Streptophyta; Magnoliopsida; Malpighiales; Euphorbiaceae.